This 263-nucleotide ribosomal RNA is filed under the name uncultured archaeon. RNAcentral describes it as "partial 16S ribosomal RNA". It matches the Rfam family "Archaeal small subunit ribosomal RNA", at positions 718 to 982 of the family's 1478-position model. The record is from RNAcentral.
AGUCACUGACAUUAGAUACCCGGUAGUCCAGGGUGUAAACGCUGCAGACUUGGUGUUGGGAACCCUUCGGGGGUGCUCAGUGCCGGAGAGAAGUUGUUAAGUCUGCUACUUGGGAGUACGUCCGCAAGGAUGAAACUUAAAGGAAUUGGCGGGGGAGCACCGCAACGGGAGGAGCGUGCGGUUUAAUUGGAUUCAACGCCGAAAAACUCACCAGCAGCGACUGUUACAUGAAAGUCAGGUUGAUGACCUUACUAGAUUUUCAG